This 71-nucleotide small RNA is filed under the name Maribacter sedimenticola. Its description in RNAcentral is "Flavo-1 RNA". It matches the Rfam family "Flavo-1 RNA". The record is from RNAcentral. Lineage: Bacteria; Pseudomonadati; Bacteroidota; Flavobacteriia; Flavobacteriales; Flavobacteriaceae.
UUUAAGUUAGGGAUUGAAGCGGCAUCCUUUUUUUAUUUCAAAAAAAGAUACAGCUGAAAGCCCGACCGCAC